AUCCCAUGAUGGGGACAAUCUUCCAUUAAGCUCUUGAACCUCUCCCAUGCCUCAAAGAGAGUUUCAUCUCUUACCUCAUCAAAGCUAGCAACCCUUAACCUUAAUUC
Non-coding RNA from Beta vulgaris subsp. vulgaris (sugar beet), 107 nucleotides. The record is from Rfam. NCBI's taxonomy places the organism in Eukaryota, Viridiplantae, Streptophyta, Magnoliopsida, Caryophyllales, Amaranthaceae.